This 545-nucleotide ribosomal RNA is filed under the name uncultured bacterium. RNAcentral describes it as "bacterial SSU rRNA". It matches the Rfam family "Bacterial small subunit ribosomal RNA", at positions 953 to 1498 of the family's 1533-position model. The record is from RNAcentral.
GACGCAACGCGAAGAACCUUACCUGGGCUUGAACCGCUACUGACCAAUGGUGGAAACAUCGUCUUCCCGCAAGGGACAGUAGUAGAGGUGCUGCAUGGCUGUCGUCAGCUCGUGCCGUGAGGUGUUGGGUUAAGUCCCGCAACGAGCGCAACCCUUACUCUUAGUUGCCACCCGCAAGGGGGAACUCUAAGAGGACUGCUCCGGAUAACGGAGAGGAAGGUGGGGAUGGCGUCAAGUCAGCACGGCCAUUAUGUCCAGGGCUACACACGUGUUACAAUGCGUGAUACAAACCGUCGCGAACCCGUGAGGGGGAGCUAAUCGGAAAAAACCACGCUCAGUUCGGAUUGCAGUCUGCAACUCGACUGCAUGAAGCUGGAAUCGCUAGUAAUGGCGUAUCAGAACGACGCCGUGAAUACGUUCCCGGGCCUUGUACACACCGCCCGUCACAUCACGAAAGUGGGCUGUACUAGAAGUCGCCAUGCUAACCGCAAGGAGGCAAGCGCCCAAGGUAUGGCUCAUGAUUGGGGUGAAGUCGUAACAAGGUA